This 356-nucleotide unclassified non-coding RNA is filed under the name soil metagenome. Its description in RNAcentral is "partial contains 5.8S ribosomal RNA, internal transcribed spacer 2, and large subunit ribosomal RNA". The stretch from base 1 to 120 matches the Rfam family "5.8S ribosomal RNA", at positions 35 to 154 of the family's 154-position model. The record is from RNAcentral.
GAUGAAGAACGUAGCGAAAUGCGAUAAGUAAUGUGAAUUGCAGAAUUCAGUGAAUCAUCGAAUCUUUGAACGCACAUUGCGCCCGUCAGUAUUCUGGCGGGCAUGCCUGUUCGAGCGUCAUUACGCCCCUCAAGUCCCCUGUGGACUUGGUGUUGGGGAUCGGCGAGGCUGGUUUUCCAGCACAGCCGUCCCUUAAAUUAAUUGGCGGUCUCGCCGUGGCCCUCCUCUGCGCAGUAGUAAAACACUCGCAACAGGAGCCCGGCGCGGUCCACUGCCGUAAAACCCCCCAACUUUUUAUAGUUGACCUCGAAUCAGGUAGGACUACCCGCUGAACUUAAGCAUAUCAAAGCGGAGGA